AGAGUUUGAUCCUGGCUCAGAUUGAACGCUGGCGGCAGGCCUAACACAUGCAAGUCGAGCGGAUGAGAGGAGCUUGCUCCUGGAUUCAGCGGCGGACGGGUGAGUAAUGCCUAGGAAUCUGCCUGGUAGUGGGGGACAACGUUUCGAAAGGAACGCUAAUACCGCAUACGUCCUACGGGAGAAAGCAGGGGACCUUCGGGCCUUGCGCUAUCAGAUGAGCCUAGGUCGGAUUAGCUAGUUGGUGAGGUAAUGGCUCACCAAGGCGACGAUCCGUAACUGGUCUGAGAGGAUGAUCAGUCACACUGGAACUGAGACACGGUCCAGACUCCUACGGGAGGCAGCAGUGGGGAAUAUUGGACAAUGGGCGAAAGCCUGAUCCAGCCAUGCCGCGUGUGUGAAGAAGGUCUUCGGAUUGUAAAGCACUUUAAGUUGGGAGGAAGGGUUGUAGAUUAAUACUCUGCAAUUUGACGUACCGAC
This 477-nucleotide ribosomal RNA is filed under the name Pseudomonas sp. RHF29. RNAcentral's name for it is "bacterial SSU rRNA". It matches the Rfam family "Bacterial small subunit ribosomal RNA", at positions 8 to 482 of the family's 1533-position model. Lineage: Bacteria; Pseudomonadati; Pseudomonadota; Gammaproteobacteria; Pseudomonadales; Pseudomonadaceae. The record is from RNAcentral.